AUUGAACGCUGGCGGCAGGCCUAACACAUGCAAGUCGGACGGUAGCACAGAGAGCUUGCUCUCGGGUGACGAGUGGCGGACGGGUGAGUAAUGUCUGGGAAACUGCCCGAUGGAGGGGGAUAACUACUGGAAACGGUAGCUAAUACCGCAUAACGUCUUCGGACCAAAGCGGGGGACCUUCGGGCCUCACACCAUCGGAUGUGCCCAGAUGGGAUUAGCUAGUAGGUGGGGUAAUGGCUCACCUAGGCGACGAUCCCUAGCUGGUCUGAGAGGAUGACCAGGCACACUGGAACUGAGACACGGUCCAGACUCCUACGGGAGGCAGCAGUGGGGAAUAUUGCACAAUGGGCGCAAGCCUGAUGCAGCCAUGCCGCGUGUAUGAAGAAGGCCUUCGGGUUGUAAAGUACUUUCAGCGGGGAGGAAGGCGAUGAGGUUAAUAACCGCAUCGAUUGACGUUACCCGCAGAAGAAGCACCGGCUAACUCCGUGCCAGCAGCCGCCGUAA
Molecule: ribosomal RNA, 504 nt
Filed under: uncultured bacterium
Lineage: Bacteria
Description: partial 16S ribosomal RNA
Rfam family: Bacterial small subunit ribosomal RNA
Source: RNAcentral